AACGAACGCUGGCGGCAUGCCUAACACAUGCAAGUCGAACGAGACCUUCGGGUCUAGUGGCGCACGGGUGCGUAACGCGUGGGAAUCUACCCUUGGGUUCGGAAUAACAGCUAGAAAUGACUGGUAAUACCGGAUGAUGACGUAAGUCCAAAGAUUUAUCGCCCAAGGAUGAGCCCGCGUAAGAUUAGCUUGUUGGUGAGGUAAUGGCCUACCGAGGCGACGAUCUUUAGCUGGUCUGCGAGGAUGAUCAGCCACGCUGGGACUGAGACACAGCCCAGACUCCUACUGGAGGCAGCAGUGGGGAAUAUUGGACAAUGGGCGAAAGCCUGAUCCAGCAAUGCCGCGUGAGUGAUGAAGGCCUUAGGGUUGUAAAGCUCUUUUACCAGGGAUGAUAAUGACAGUACCUGGAGAAUAAGCUCCGGCUAACUCCGUGCCAGCCGCCGCGGUAA
RNAcentral lists this ribosomal RNA (449 nucleotides) under uncultured bacterium. Its description in RNAcentral is "partial 16S ribosomal RNA". It matches the Rfam family "Bacterial small subunit ribosomal RNA", at positions 29 to 523 of the family's 1533-position model. The record is from RNAcentral.